UCGUCCUGAUUUGAGAGAUGCCAGCCUUGCCUGUCUCCUGUCCGCAGGUGACCUGGUGGCCGAAGCAGCCAGUGGCAAGCCCCCGCCGGACAGCCUGAUGUGCAGCGGGAGCUCGCUGGUGGCCUCAGCCGGCUUGGAAAGCCAUGGCCGGACCCCGUCUCCAUCCCCGCCCUGCAGCAGCUCCCCCAGCCCCUCAGGGCGGGCUGGCCCGUUCUCCAGCAGCAGGUGUGGCGCGUCCGUCCCCAUCCCAGUGCCCACACAGGUGCAAAACUACCAGCGCAUCGAGCAGAACCUGCAGUCGCCCACCCAGUACCAGACCC
Hipposideros armiger (great roundleaf bat) is the source of this 320-nucleotide long non-coding RNA. RefSeq lists it as uncharacterized. The transcript has 3 exons. NCBI's taxonomy places the organism in Eukaryota, Metazoa, Chordata, Mammalia, Chiroptera, Hipposideridae. The record is from RefSeq and is a predicted model, not a curated record.